Molecule: long non-coding RNA, 322 nt
Filed under: Phoenix dactylifera (date palm)
Lineage: Eukaryota; Viridiplantae; Streptophyta; Magnoliopsida; Arecales; Arecaceae
Description: long non-coding RNA (PDAC_LNC007142)
Source: RNAcentral
GAGUAGCAGUCAUGAAGUUGAGAAGUAAGGGAGCCUCCAACGUCUCCCGGCGUCCCCCGCAAAGUCCUGGACGCUCCGUCCAGAAUUCUCCAACUCCGGCUGACCCAGUUCCUCAGGUCCAGCCGGAACAGUUCAAUGCCCUAGUACAGCAAGUCCAGGCCCUGGCCGCCGCCGUUCAGGGCCUGCGACGUGAGGAAGCUUUACCAACGCUUCCCCCGCGGGCCCAGGUCCCGCCGGAAUUUCUUCCCAACGGCCCGGUUCUCCCCGGCCAGAAUCUACAUGGCUCCUCCAGAGCCAAUAACGAAGAACGGACUUCCCCCCA